CCAGCUCAGUCUGCACUAUGCCAGAUCAUGAUCCCGAGACGGAGAGAUGCCGGCGUACAGCCAAGGUUAGACAGUUCGUGGCGGCAUUUGUGGCGAGCUUAUUGGGCUUCACUGGUGGAUCGGUCUUGGGAUGGACGUCACCCAUGCAACCCUUGCUGAUGUCUCCAGAUCCACCUGUCGGUACCGACCCCAUGACAGAGGACAACGUCGCUUGGCUCGGCUCCAUAAACUUUGUUGGCACGUUCCUCGGGUCUUUCUUCUGGGGCAUCGUAGCUGACAGCUGGGGCAGAAAGAAGACUGCGUGUUUAGUCGCCAUACCCUUCAUUCUGCACUGGAUAUUAACGAUGGUUGCCAAGAAUUUCUAUUGGCUGAUAAUAGCGAGACUUAUUGCCGGUAUUGGGAACAAUGGUGCUGUGGCAUCUGUACCGGCAUUCAUUUCCGAAAUGGCACAAGACGAUCUCCGUGGCUUUUUUGGAUCGUUUUAUGUGAUAUUUAUAAACAUUGGAAUGAUGUAUUCCUAUGUUAUAGGAACUUACUUUCAUUAUUAUGGUUUGUCCAUUGCAUGUAUUGUUAUACCGUUAAUUUUUUUGCUCAGCUUUAUUUGGAUACCUGAAUCUCCGAUAUUCCUUUUCAAUAAUGGACAAACUGCUAAUGCAGAAAAGUCACUUUUCUGGUAUAAAGGAGGAGAUGCAGUCGAAGCGGAGAAGGUUUUGUCAACUUACAAACACGAACCUAAUAGUAAAAAUAAUAAAUUGUCUGUUAUGUCAUUAUUUGCUACUAGAGGAACCACAAAGGCUUUCAUUCUUGGAUUAGCUCUGAUGAUUUCCUUACAAAUCUGUGGAAUCACGGCAAUUAUGAGCUUCGCUGUCAGUAUAUUUGAGAUGUGUGGUACAUCUCUAACUCCUUACCAUUCUGCUUUGUUACUGGGUUCAAUGCAAGUUGUGUUUACUUGUUCUUCUUCAUUUCUAGUCGAUAGAUUAGGAAGAAAGUUUUUGUUGGUGACUUCUAUGAUGGUCAUGGCCUUUUCCUUAGCGGUAUUAGGAACUUAUCUUUUCUUUUUACAUGGCCAGUCUGUAGACUCGGUGUUCAGGUGGACACCUGUUGUUUCUCUGUCUGUGUGUGUAAGUGCUUUUGCGAUCGGCGUGUCACCAGUUACUUUUAUAAUCAUGGGAGAAAUAUUUCCUACCUACAUAAAAAGUUAUGCAAUCGCCAAACUUCUAAUGGUUUUAGGCACCACAGCCUUUAUUUUCGUAAAGUGUUUCCCUAUAAUGAAAUCUUUAUUGAAGCCGCACGGGCUGUUCUGGUUGUACGCUGUUUCCUCUUUAGCAUUUUCAAUAUUUUUCUAUUACCAUCUUCCUGAAACAAAAGGAAAGUCUUUAAGUGAAAUUUUGAGAAUAUUAAAUAAUAAAGGGUUUGAAGACAAUCUUACUGAAGAAAAGGGAACUACUGAACAUAUUCAACUACAAUAGAUUUCUUCUUUGUAGAUUUUUAUUCUUUCCUUUACAAAUAUUAAUCUAUUUGAAAUUAUAGAAAAAGGUUACCAAAAUAUUUUUAGUUGUUGACAGCGUACAUUUGUUGUCAACUUUCGCAUUCUUUAUUAUUUUUCCUAGAUGCUAUUAAUACUGCUGUAAUCCCUUACCAACCAUUAUGCUUGCUUCAAUACAUUAUUUCUUGGCCUUAUAUUUAGGAGUUUUUAGCAGCGCCUUUUGAGACUCUAUUGUAUAUAAAACUUAUGGUUUCAAUAGGCCUACUCUUUAACAAAUCUAUUUUAAAAAAUUAACGAACUAAAAAUUUGAAAUUAAACAUCAAUAAAUAAUACUGCCUAUAGUUAAAAGUAAAACACAGAGUGGGAGCCGUAAAACAAUAUGGCACUAUGUCUUCCACUCUGUUUACCAUCAAUUUCAAAAGAGCUGAAUUUGUUUAGUCCAUUAGGACAAAUUUAUUUUGCAUUAAUACAGAAAGCCAUAUGCAGAGUUUUAGUAGAUAAAUUUCUAUUUAUUACCUUUAAAUGGUUCCUGAUUCAAAAUUUAUUCUUUUGGAUGUUUAUAUGACUCAAAUUAUUUUAAGACGGGUCAAUAUUUCCCUUCUUCUCAAAUUACAUAAUUUACUAAUUCUUUUAAAUUAGAGAAGAAUAUAUACAUAUUGGUGGCCCCAAGCCAUCAAUAGCAUACUCAAGUAUGCAACCAUUGUUGGGAAAAGGGAUAGAGAUUACUACUUUAGAGCGAUCAAGGCCAGGCAGGGGAAAUUCCUUUCUUAGAUGGUUUGGGGGUUUCAUGAGCUAUUUGGACGUAAGUUACUGUAUAAUCACUUCUUCGGACUGAUUGGUGGCAGGUUUAUGUCUAGAAUCUUUUAUGAUCACGACAUAUCAGUAGAAUAUAUUCGUGUAAGAGUUCAGAAGAAUCAUUUUCAACGAUAAAUUCGUUUAUUCUCCCCUAUUUCUAAAUCUGUAAACCAGUAAUUAGAUUUAGUACCAUCUCAAACACUCUUAAGCAAUAAGAUUUCUUAGAAUAUAAUUUUUCUAGUUAGGUUUUAAGUAGCGCAAAAGGAACAUUUAUACUGCUAUAUGAUACAUUCUUGGCUUGACUUGGUUUUAGGAAUGCCUAAUAGAGAUUAAUAGGUUGAUAUAGAUCAAACAUUACACGUUUGAGCAUCAGGCCUUGUUUUAAGUAGAUUUGCCAAUUUAUCAAGGUUAUAGUUUUAUAAAUAGUUAUAGAUAAAUCGUCCAAUAGUACUGAAAACAUUAUUCCGUGCGAAUAGACUCCACCAUCGUGGAAAAAAUAGCAUGAAGCUUGCUUACAUCAUGGAAUAAAUGCAUCAUAUUACAAUCUCCACGGAAAACUUCUGCGGAAUUUUCGUCUUCCAAAAGAAUGUGUAUUACAAGUAUGUUUUAUAGAUAUCUAGGUUUAACAGAUCUAAGGAAAAUUAAGUUUUUAUUUCAAAUCAUUAUAUUUAUUUGUAACUUAUUUUUCUAAUAAUCGCUUGACAAGACUUGUAUUGUAUUACACAACAUGAACAGCCGUACAGUAGAACGUUAUUUCUAUUUUCGUCUUCUAAAAGUAUGUGUAUCACAAGUAUGUUUUAUAUACAUCUAGGUUUAACAGAUCUAAGUAAAGUUAAGUUUUGUUUAAAAUUAUUUUAUUUAUUGGUAACUUAUUUUCUAAUAAUCGCUUGACAACACAUGUAGUGUAUUACAUAACAUGAACAGAUUUACAGUAGAACAGUGUUUAUUAUUUACCAUAUAAUAAAGUAAACAUUUAUAUUAACCAAUCAGAACACAUUGGGAUUUCUUAUAUUUAAAUUACCUUUUGGGAAAAGUUGGAUUACAAUUUAACGAGGAAAAAUCUGAAGGAUGAAAAAGUUCACUGUAUUUUCUUGUGCCAUCGGAGGAAAUGGUCCUGCUUCGGAAAAUAAUCCAAGAUGAUAAAAAGAAUUUGGAAAAUAUAUAUUUAUAAAGUACAUCAGACUUAUUGGUGAAGUUAGGGCUAAGAAGCCCUUUCUGGUACUUGUUCCGGGGACUUCCGAUCACUGCUUGCAAGGACAGGAUCGCUCAGUGGGACCCAUCCAAACAGCAGAUACACUCGAAGUUGCUUGACUCCAUCAUCACAACAGCCGCAUCAAUGCGCCCUUGCCUAACGAUAAACGUUUUUAUUAAAAUAAAAAAAAAUAUUACGGAUGA
RNAcentral lists this unclassified non-coding RNA (3676 nucleotides) under Homalodisca vitripennis (glassy-winged sharpshooter). Its description in RNAcentral is "facilitated trehalose transporter Tret1-like, transcript variant X3". The record is from RNAcentral. Lineage: Eukaryota; Metazoa; Arthropoda; Insecta; Hemiptera; Cicadellidae.